CCCGUAUAGUAGAGAAUAGACCCGGCGAAAGUCGGAUUAAUGCUCUAAUGUUGUAUUUAGAAGACAUCUGAAGAAUACCAAAGGUUUACCGCUAUAGGAUGGGGAUGCGUCUGAUUAGGUAGUAGGCGGGUAACGGCCCACCUAGCCGACGAUCAGUAGGGGUUCUGAGAGGAAGGUCCCCCACAUUGGAACUGAGACACGGUCCAAACUCCUACGGGAGGCAGCAGUGAGGAAUAUUGGGUCAAUGGACGGAAGUCUGAACCAGCCAAAAGGUAGCGUGCAGGAUGACGGCCCUAUGGGUUGUAAACUGCUUUUAUAUAGGGAUAAAGUCGGGGACGUGUCCCCGUUUGUAGGUACUAUAUGAAUAAGGACCGGCUAAUUCCGUGCCAGCCGCCGC
RNAcentral lists this ribosomal RNA (397 nucleotides) under uncultured bacterium. RNAcentral's name for it is "bacterial SSU rRNA". It matches the Rfam family "Bacterial small subunit ribosomal RNA", at positions 128 to 518 of the family's 1533-position model. The record is from RNAcentral.